UGCAUACAUGAUCUCCAGCACACCCC
This 26-nucleotide non-coding RNA is filed under the name Homo sapiens (human). Lineage: Eukaryota; Metazoa; Chordata; Mammalia; Primates; Hominidae. The record is from RNAcentral.